UACAGAGGGUGCGAGCGUUAAUCGGAAUUACUGGGCGUAAAGCGUGCGUAGACGGCUAUCUAAGUCGGGUGUGAAAGCCCCGGGCUCAACCUGGGAAUUGCAUUCGAGACUGAAUAGCUAGGGUACGGUAGAGGGAAGUGAAAUUUCCGGUGUAGCGGUGAAAUGCGUAGAUAUCGGAAGGAACAUCAGUGGCGAAAGCGACUUCCUGGACCAGUACCGACGUUCAGGCACGAAAGCGUGGGGAGCAAACAGG
Molecule: ribosomal RNA, 253 nt
Filed under: uncultured bacterium
Lineage: Bacteria
Description: partial 16S ribosomal RNA
Rfam family: Bacterial small subunit ribosomal RNA
Source: RNAcentral